Nematostella vectensis (starlet sea anemone) is the source of this 248-nucleotide RNA transcript. RefSeq lists it as uncharacterized. The record is from RefSeq and is a predicted model, not a curated record. The transcript is spliced from 3 exons. Lineage: Eukaryota; Metazoa; Cnidaria; Anthozoa; Actiniaria; Edwardsiidae.
GCGGGAAUCUGCUGGUGGCGUGUGGCGUGAUAGAUCGACAUUCUUCACUUUUUUCGAGUAACAGCCUGCUGUUCGAAAUGGCUGGUACAAGUAGAAGAAUUGAUAAUUUCUUUUUCAAAAGGCAAAGAUCACAACCGUCCCUAUCCGAAGAAUUGACAGAAGACGAAGUAGAACCUUCGAAACGGGCGCGAGGGGUAGAAAAUGAUGCAGGAUGUUCUGACGAGAGGUCUGUUGAAGCUAAUAAGCCG